UACGGAGGGUGCAAGCGUUGUCCGGAUUUAUUGGGUUUAAAGGGUGCGUAGGCGGCUAUCUAAGUCAGUGGUGAAAUCCUGCAGCUUAACUGUAGAACCGCCAUUGAUACUGGAUGGCUUGAGUACAGACGAGGUAGGCGGAAUUUAUGGUGUAGCGGUGAAAUGCAUAGAUACCAUAAAGAACACCGAUUGCGAAGGCAGCUUACUAGGCUGUAACUGACGCUGAGGCACGAAAGCGUGGGGAUCAAACAGG
This 253-nucleotide ribosomal RNA is filed under the name uncultured bacterium. RNAcentral's name for it is "partial 16S ribosomal RNA". It matches the Rfam family "Bacterial small subunit ribosomal RNA", at positions 524 to 776 of the family's 1533-position model. The record is from RNAcentral.